CCUACGGGAGGCAGCAGUGGGGAAUAUUGGGCAAUGGAGGAAACUCUGACCCAGCGACGCCGCGUGCGGGAUGAAGGCCUUCGGGUUGUAAACCGCUUUCAGCAGGGAAGAAGCGAAAGUGACGGUACCUGCAGAAGAAGCACCGGCUAACUAUGUGCCAGCAGCCGCGGUAAUACAUAGGGUGCAAGCGUUGUCCGGAAUUAUUGGGCGUAAAGAGCUCGUAGGUGGUUCGUCACGUCGGAUGUGAAAAUCUGGGGCUUAACCCCAGACCUGCAUUCGAUACGGGCGAGCUUGAGUAUGGUAGGGGAGUCUGGAAUUCCUGGUGUAGCGGUGGAAUGCGCAGAUAUCAGGAGGAACACCAAUGGCGAAGGCAGGACUCUGGGCCAUUACUGACACUGAGGAGCGAAAGCGUGGGGAGCGAACAGGAUUAGAUACCCUGGUAGUCCACGCCGUAAACGGUGGGCACUAGUUGUGGGGACCUUCCACGGUCUCUGCGACGCAGCUAACGCAUUAAGUGCCCCGCCUGGGGAGUACGAUCGCAAGNUUAAAACUUAAAGGAAUUGACGG
RNAcentral lists this ribosomal RNA (567 nucleotides) under uncultured bacterium. RNAcentral's name for it is "bacterial SSU rRNA". It matches the Rfam family "Bacterial small subunit ribosomal RNA", at positions 338 to 916 of the family's 1533-position model. The record is from RNAcentral.